RNAcentral lists this ribosomal RNA (250 nucleotides) under uncultured bacterium. RNAcentral describes it as "partial 16S ribosomal RNA". It matches the Rfam family "Bacterial small subunit ribosomal RNA", at positions 57 to 305 of the family's 1533-position model. The record is from RNAcentral.
GCAAGUCGAACGAUAACGGGUCCAGCUUGCUGGAUGCCUACGAGCGGCGGACGGGUGAGUAACGCGUGGGAAUUUACCUAGUAGAAGGGGAUAGCUCGGAGAAAUCCGGAUUAAUACCGCAUACGCCCUAUGGGGGAAAGCAGGGGAUCUUCGGACCUUGCGCUAUUAGAUAAGCCCGCGUCGGAUUAGCUUGUUGGUGAGGUAAAGGCUCACCAAGGCAACGAUCCGUAGCUGGUCUGAGAGGAUGAUC